Molecule: ribosomal RNA, 403 nt
Filed under: uncultured bacterium
Lineage: Bacteria
Description: partial 16S ribosomal RNA
Rfam family: Bacterial small subunit ribosomal RNA
Source: RNAcentral
GACGAACGCUGGCGGCGUGCCUAAUACAUGCAAGUCGAACGCAGUGGGGACGGGUGAGUAACACGUGGGUAACCUCCCAUCAGAGGGGAUAACACUUGGAAACAGGUGCUAAACCGAUACUGAUGGAUGGACCCGCGGUGCAUUGGCUAGGUGGGGAGGUAACGGGGCACCAAGGCGACGAUGCGUAGCCUACCGGAGAGGGUGGUCGGCCACACGGGGACGGAGACACGGCCCAGACUCCUAGGGGAGGCAGCAGGAGGGAAUCUGCGGCAAUGGACGAAAGUCUGACCGAGCAACGCCGCGUGAGUGAAGAAGGUUUUCGGAUCGUAAAACUCUUUUGUUAGAGAAGCGGUAUCUAACCAGAAAGCCACGGCUAACUACGUGCCAGCAGCCGCGGUAAUUC